GACGAACGCUGGCGGCGCGCCUAACACAUGCAAGUCGAACGGGAAGGCCCUGCUUUUGUGGGGCGCUCGAGUGGCGAACGGGUGAGUAACACGUGAGUAACCUGCCCUUGACAUUGGGAUAACUUCAGGAAACUAGGGCUAAUACCGGAUAGGCGCACCUGCUGCAUGGUGGGGGUUGGAAAGGUUCCGCGGCGCGGGAUGGACUCGCCGCUUAUCAGCUUGUUGGUGGGGUAGUGGCUUACCAAGGCUUUGACGGGUAGCCGGCCUGAGAGGGUGACCGGCCACGCUGGAACUGGAAUGAGGCACAGACCCCUACGCGAGGGGACAGAGGAGUGUAUUGCACAGUGGGAUGAGGCCUAAUGCAGCGACGCGGCGUGCGGUAUAACAGGCAUCGCGUUGUAUUCCGCUUUCGCCUGGGACGAGAAGUGAGUGACGGUAAUGGGUAAAGAAGCACCGGCUAACUACGUG
RNAcentral lists this ribosomal RNA (468 nucleotides) under uncultured bacterium. RNAcentral's name for it is "partial 16S ribosomal RNA". It matches the Rfam family "Bacterial small subunit ribosomal RNA", at positions 28 to 507 of the family's 1533-position model. The record is from RNAcentral.